This 244-nucleotide ribosomal RNA is filed under the name uncultured Actinomycetales bacterium. RNAcentral's name for it is "partial 16S ribosomal RNA". It matches the Rfam family "Bacterial small subunit ribosomal RNA", at positions 89 to 334 of the family's 1533-position model. The record is from RNAcentral. Lineage: Bacteria; Bacillati; Actinomycetota; Actinomycetes; Actinomycetales.
GCUCGAGUGGCGAACGGGUGAGUAACACGUGAGUAACCUGCCCUUGACUUUGGGAUAACUUCAGGAAACUGGGGCUAAUACCGGAUAGGAGCUCCUGCUGCAUGGUGGGGGUUGGAAAGUUUCGGCGGUUGGGGAUGGACUCGCGGCUUAUCAGCUUGUUGGUGGGGUAGUGGCUUACCAAGGCUUUGACGGGUAGCCGGCCUGAGAGGGUGACCGGCAACAUUGGGACUGAGAUACGGUCCAG